Molecule: long non-coding RNA, 639 nt
Organism: Mizuhopecten yessoensis (Yesso scallop)
Lineage: Eukaryota; Metazoa; Mollusca; Bivalvia; Pectinida; Pectinidae
Exons: 3
Source: RefSeq, a predicted model, not a curated record
GUGUGUGUGUCGGCAGCCUCUCACAGACACGGCCAUACCGCAUCUUCAUCGCCACAGCAGUAGUAAUAUUUAGAGGAAAUCAAUCUACUAAUGGCCCCCUGGGACAGGUACAUACAUACCUAGCUACUGUAUCGGACAUGUUGAUUGCUCUGGUGUGACAGUUGUCCCAUCAACCCAAGUACCUGCUUCAUAAAGGGAACGGUUCAUAAAUAUUUCACAUGUGUGAGCCAUCUGAUUGGCUGACGAGUCGGAUACGGUGCAAGUAACAGUCCAUAACUUACCACCUACGCACUUUUUGGCAGUCCAUUCACAAACACUUACAUCAAAAGAAUUUGCCGUUCCACUUCGUGACAAUUUCCAACGCUUUCCUUCGAGUCUAUGGUACACCCGGUUUCGCGGCCCGAGUUUCCUAUAGAGUAGCCCCCGGAGAAUGCCUUUUGGUAACUUUCAGCAGCUGAAGGAGAGGAUUAUCUACCCUGCUAAAGACGCUACCCAAAUUUCAAAGUCAUCACUUGGAAGAAAUUUCUGUUAAGCUGUCAAGAGCAUCUAAGAAGUGAUUGGUGCUAGACUUAUUAUCGUAGGAUUUUCGUAUAAAAUGGCAAGUCUAAAGAGCCAUACAGAAGAAAUGAAAAGGUUAGC